CUCAUCUGGAUCAUGUGAGGAGCUUUAAAGCUGCUACCUGCCGUUUGAUUGGUGCAAUCACGAGUCAUAGAACUUGUCUAGGAAUAUUUGCAGUUUUAUAAAUUCUGCUUUUUCUCCACACAGCCUGCAGUUCACCUGAAAACGUUCUAGAAUUUUUGGCAACCACUGGUCACUCAUGGAUUUUUUUUAUUUUAUUGACUAUUGGAAAGUUGAAACGCCAAUGAUUUUAAUUUUAUUUUCAAAUUUUUACAGUUUCUUGUUUCUAAAUUGCAUCAAUUUAGUUUUUAAGAAAAAAAAAAGGAAAAAAGAAAACAUGAAACCUGACAGCAGGCUUUGGGGCUCUGAGGAAUAAAAAACUCCUGUAGUUCAAACCCUGAGCUCAAAGAGAAACAGGAGGACUGUGUGUGUGUGUGUGUGUGUGUGUGUGUGUGUGUGUGUGUGUGUGUGUGUGUGUGUGUGUGUGUGUGUGUGUGUGUGUGUGUGUGUGUGUGUGUGUGUGUUCUCUCAGGUGUGGCAGGUGAGGACAGACUGAACCCUCCUCCUAAAGCUUUAAGCUGUAGAUCACAUCCAGACACACCUGCCAAAGCCACGUCUCUGAUUGGACGGUUUGAACAAACGCAGCCUCUGAUUGGUCGUUUCCUGAGUUUGAACCAUUCAAACAGAGGCCUGAGGGUAAGAACUUAAAUAAAAACACAACAAACAGGACUUUUAGGAAAAUACUUCCACAACUUAUAUGGCUUUUACUUUGCUGUGAGAAUGAUUUCAGCGAGGGGACAUUCAUCUUUUUUUUUUUUUUUUUUUUUUUUUUUUUGGUUUUGUACAGGAAUUGAAUUAAGGCGAGACAGUUUCUGUAAACAUAAAACAAAACAUCUGUGAAAACAAUAAUCAUAACGAGAAAUAAAACCCCUUAUAUAAUCCAAACAAACAAACAAAAUGUCACAAAUUGUUUACAGCAUAGAACGGUACUAUUUACAGGCUGCUCGCGUUGUUCUCGAACACAUCAUACCUACAUGUUGGUUUUAAUACAUUCUGUGCUGUGUGUUAUCCCAAACCGGAGACUUUAACAUGUUUGAAAGACUUUUUUGGGGGCGUUUUGUGGAAGAAAACGCACAAAACAGCAAAAAAAAAAGUCACUGAGCUUUUGAAUGUGUGACUUGCAGACCAGCUAUGAUCUUCAGCUCCAGUUACUCAGGUGUUCUUUCCUUUUUUAAAAAUAAAAUAAAUACUUUUCCCACUGGAGAUCAGUACAUGAUGAAGUCUGAGAUCACACAGGAAUCACACGAAGCACAGGAAGGAAUCAUGUGAGAUCGGACGAUGAAAUACUCGAGAAACAAAAAGCGUGAUCCGGCUGAAAAAGCUCAACUUCAAAUAAGACAAAAAGCCGUUUGCUUGCUUUUUUUUCCCAGAUGAAAGUUAGGUGCUCUGAUGAACUGAAGAAGCUUUAAUUUAAUCCAAUCCAAUUGUGGCUAAAAUUAAAAAAACAAAAACAAAAAACAAAAACUAAAACAUCCGAGCAGCUCCGCCCCGAAGCAAGCUUUCCCUCCAAAACUCAAAGAAUGUCACCACCUUCCCGCCCUUUUUCUCCUUCUUUGCUUUUCCACCUUCACCUCUCCAGCUCGUUCCUGCGUGCUGCAUCUUGCCGCCUUCAACUUUUCCCUCCUCUGUCAGCUCUCACACAUCUCUACUGAGGAUUUAAACAAACAGCGCCAAGCAUGAUGGGAAAUAAAGGCGGGGAGGAUAAAGACGAAGCGAAAACAGCUGGAAGGAAGCCAGCAAAGAUUAUAGAAGGACACCAGGGCUGAGAAACUGAGUGUUACUUGGUGUAGUGGUGUUUAAGUCAUGGACUGCAGCUUUUAUGUAUUAAAGGUUAGAAAGUGAACAUCCGAUGAAACAUUCGUGUUUACAUCCUCAUUGUGUCUGUAUUUUGUUGAUGGAUGACUUUCACUGGAUUAAUCUCCUGUAUCGCUGCAUGACCAGCCGACUCAAUCAAUCAACACCUCGAACACGCUCUUAUUUACUGGCUCUCCUCCGGAUUAUGUGAACUGGAAAUAUCCAACCUCCUUGCUGGGUUUCAAAGCAAACACUUGCAAUUAUACGAUUAGAGAUGAUUCCAGAGCUGAACCUUUCAAUGGAAAAUAAAGCGGUGAGAGCUUUCUGGUGGAGGAACCUUUGAAAACCCAGCGAGCUGAGUUUUCAAAGGUUCCUCCACCAGAAUCAUUGGUUCUGGAUCAUCUACUAGAACCAAUGGGUUCUUCGGUGUGUUUUCAAAGGUUCAUCCACAUAGCAAAAGCUGAUUUCUGGCUUUAUUUUUCUAUUGCGGGUUGUAAACUCAUUCAGAAACAGCAAAAAAACCCCACUUUAAAACACCAAAAACAACAUUAAUUAACACACUGGCUUCAUGUUUAGGUCUGCUGUUUUAAACGAGAUCUUCAGGAGUCUUAGUCUUUUUGAAUUUACUUGUAAUUUACCAACUCAUUCCUCUAAAGAGCUUCUGAUUUACACCUGGUCACCACUAGAUGAAAAUCAACCCAAUAAUCUGACUCCUAAAAUAACAAAAACACAACAUUUAUUCACUCCAACCAGCAAAAACCUGCAUGUUUAACACAACAGUCCUCCAAUAAAUCCUCCUGUAUGAAGGUUUCAGCUGUUUUAUAGAGAAUUUAGUUACACUGACUGGUGUUUCUGGUAUUUAAGCUUGCCUCAUUGAUAUGAAGUUGAUGGAUGAAAUAACAGAAACACCCGUCAGUGUGUUCAACAGAACCACAAACGAUCGAUGCAAUCAGUGUAUAAUUAAUCCUCUAAAAACCAGCUGAUGGCUCUGACUGGAACUUUCAUGACGGACCAUUUAUUGCCAGAUGGUUGCGUUAGAACACGUUAGCUUUAGCAGGGUGGAGCUAAUAAAGUGGAUAUUCAUACAUCUAAACAUGAACUCGGGUCCCUUCUGUAUACAUCGCUCUAAAUUUAACAAGCUCAGACAUCUCUGCACCUAAAUCAGUUCCUCUCUAGUCAGAAACUCGCUCAAGAGUUUUGGUUUUGCUGAUCCUGCUUCAUUAAACUUCAGGUAACUGAGCCUCCAUUAGCAUUUAUCUGAUGGAUCAAAUGAACCAAACUCUGAGCUAAACCAAAAACAAACACUCUGGAAUACGUUUCAUAUCAUAAUAUGUUCAUAUAGGUUUGGCUUUUUUUGUGUCCAUGAGAUAAGAGAUACACUCAGUCUAUCUUAUAUUUGCACGAAUGUUUGCAUGAGUUUUUAAUAUAUUCAACAAGAUCCUAAUUAUUUUUUUUUUAAAUUUUGUCAUUUUAUACCAGUUUUAACACCUUUUACUUUCAUUCUUUUGGGUAUUAAGUUCAAAGAAAU
This is a long non-coding RNA of Amphiprion ocellaris (clown anemonefish), 3358 nucleotides long. NCBI's taxonomy places the organism in Eukaryota, Metazoa, Chordata, Actinopteri, Pomacentridae. The record is from Ensembl.